RNAcentral lists this ribosomal RNA (616 nucleotides) under uncultured bacterium. Its description in RNAcentral is "bacterial SSU rRNA". It matches the Rfam family "Bacterial small subunit ribosomal RNA", at positions 338 to 956 of the family's 1533-position model. The record is from RNAcentral.
CCUACGGGAGGCAGCAGUGGGGAAUUUUGGACAAUGGGCGCAAGCCUGAUCCAGCAAUGCCGCGUGAGUGAAGAAGGCCUUCGGGUUGUAAAGCUCUUUUGUCAGGGAAGAAACGGUGGGGGCUAAUAUCCUUUGCUAAUGACGGUACCUGAAGAAUAAGCACCGGCUAACUACGUGCCAGCAGCCGCGGUAAUACGUAGGGUGCAAGCGUUAAUCGGAAUUACUGGGCGUAAAGCGUGCGCAGGCGGUUUUGUAAGUCUGUCGUGAAAUCCCCGGGCUCAACCUGGGAAUUGCGAUGGAGACUGCAAGGCUAGAAUCUGGCAGAGGGGGGUAGAAUUCCACGUGUAGCAGUGAAAUGCGUAGAGAUGUGGAGGAACACCGAUGGCGAAGGCAGCCCCCUGGGUCAAGAUUGACGCUCAUGCACGAAAGCGUGGGGAGCAAACAGGAUUAGAUACCCUGGUAGUCCACGCCCUAAACGAUGUCUACUAGUUGUCGGGUUUUAAUUAACUUGGUAACGCAGCUAACGCGUGAAGUAGACCGCCUGGGGAGUCGGUCGCAAGAUUAAAACUCAAAGUAGUAGUGCGUCGNGAGAGCGACGACGACGACGACGAGGAGG